UCCCCAGUGGCUCAGCAGUAAAGAAUCUGCCUGCAAUGCAGGAGUCAGAGGAGACCUGGGUUCGAUCCCUGGCUUGGGAC
Molecule: transfer RNA, 80 nt
Filed under: Bos taurus (domestic cattle)
Lineage: Eukaryota; Metazoa; Chordata; Mammalia; Artiodactyla; Bovidae
Also listed under: 3 other names
Rfam family: tRNA
About the family: Transfer RNA (tRNA) molecules are approximately 80 nucleotides in length. Their secondary structure includes four short double-helical elements and three loops (D, anti-codon, and T loops). Further hydrogen bonds mediate the characteristic L-shaped molecular structure. tRNAs have two regions of fundamental functional importance: the anti-codon, which is responsible for specific mRNA codon recognition, and the 3' end, to which the tRNAs corresponding amino acid is attached (by aminoacyl-tRNA synthetases). tRNAs cope with the degeneracy of the genetic code in two manners: having more than one tRNA (with a specific anti-codon) for a particular amino acid; and 'wobble' base-pairing, i.e. permitting non-standard base-pairing at the 3rd anti-codon position.
Source: Rfam by way of RNAcentral